GGGCGGGGUGGAGCAACCUAAAAGAAGAAGGAGAGCCCUCGACAGGGGAGGAGGGAAAAAAGCCAGCUGCUAGUUGCCAAACCCCAACCGGAGAGGAGCCGCGGAGCCGCCAAGUGCGGUGGAGAAUCGGACCCUGGGGAGGAAGGAAACUGCGGAGAGGUUCUAGGCUGGGCCAGAAGCCAGGGGGAAACUGUCAGAGGAACACAGCAUGAAGUCACAUUAAGCCUGCAUACCCCUGUCCUAUUAGUCAAUGCAGGGCCGGAAUCUGAAGACAGAGCACUGGCGACAGGGGUCCUCAUCUCCAGGACAAGGCUCUAUCUCAACCUCCUGUGCCAGCCCAAAGCUUGUUGAGGCUCGCUUGUUCUUUCUUAGAUGCCAUACAGGAAGGGUCUUCUUUAGAAACUCAGAAUGGUUUGGUUGCAUCUCCAAGUUCCCCGAAAAUUGCUUGCGUGUCUCUUCAACUGCACGUUCCCAAGGUGACAGCGUUGUAAUUCUUGGUUCUCUUCCUUGGCCAACCAGGAAAUGCUACCGUAACUGUAACCCAAGCCAUAGCGGGACAUUGCAGGGUUCGUUUACUAUGGAACUUCUUAAGUACUUCCCCUACCUUAAGCGGGUCCCCCAACUCGUUUAAGGGGUGUUAAGUUUUGGACCUGCUUGUCUUUCCCCUGCUCGCUCUCUAUUCUCUGGAAAACAAAAGAAAAAUAUAACUCUGUGAUUGGUCUGGAGAAAAAUCAAUUAAAUAACUAAGAAUAAAAUAAAAUAUGAUUUCAUAAGCAUUAAAAAUAUAUAAAUCUGCCAAUUCUGGAAGGUGAAGUCUACUCAACAAGAUGCCAGGGGGAAGUGGGUCUUUGGGGGCAUAUAUGUCUUCACCACACGGAAGGGUACCAGCAGCAAACAGCUCCAGCCCCUUCCAGAGUGCCACUUAAAAAUUCACAGGAUUCCCCUAUGGAGUCCCAGGCAGGGACACAGAACUCAGGGAAAAUACUUAAGAGACUUUCUUGAGAACGUGAAUUCAAGUUGCUGAGGCUCGCUGACGGCCCUUGAAUGGAUACUUUCAACUCUCUUGCUCCUAUAAUUUUAAAUCUGCUGUAUUCCAAAAGGUGUUUUUAAUGUUUUCAUGCAAGCCUGCUCACAACAGGGACGCAGAGACAGCAGCUGGGGGUUCUUCCGUCCUUCCUGUUAGAUUGGGACAGAGAGGGCGCUAACACAGAGGAUACCACUAUUGGGAAGAAACCUAGCAGACAGUGAACUGGCCUUCUGCUUCGGAGCCUGAGAUCUCAGGCCCGUGAUCAACUGACUGCCAUUUUCCAUCCAGCCCCAAGGGUGGUUUCUCAGUUCCUGUUUCCCUUGGGAUGUGCAUGGAUCUGGAGGAUGAGUGGCUGUAAAACUGCCAGAGGGAGUCACAUGGUCCUCUGUUCCAGAGAUGCAGGAUGCAUGACGGAGCAUCAGCAUGUGGCCAGUAAGCCGUGGCCAUUUACUGACUGCACAGAUUUGAGUGCACCUACACUGUCCCAGUUGCUGUUGUGGCGCACGGAUAUUGAAGGAAUACAACUGACAAAGGCCAGCCCUAGGAAACUUUGACGGUAGUGAGUGACCCAGUCGGAGUAGGGACAGACUCUAAACAUAAAUUCCACAGAGAGCUCACCCAAGCCACUCCUUCCUGCACGGUUUCCUCCCAGACAACAUCCCACUGUUAACUCAGUGCUGAGCUCAGAGUCCCUCACGGUGAUCAUGUGUCCAGAGCCUUCUAUCCCAGUGCUGAGCCCUGAGUCCAUCACUGUGGCUCUACCUGAAACGUCUUUGGGAUUUCUCCUCUCCUCCUUCCAUCGUCUACCAUUCGAUCUACCUUCUUGCUCUCCCUGGUUGAUUGCCUACAACAAACCUCAGUCUGGAAACGUUAAUGGAAAUUCCCAGAAGAUUCAGAUAACCCAAAUGUUAACCAUUCACCAUAGAAAGAUUGGGAGCCCACUGCAGAACUUAUCUAAGUUAUGGGAAGCCAUUCACUUCUGGAACUCACAGGAACAGGGACAUUGUUUGUCCUGGUCGGAGAACUCAACACCAAGAAACUAUCUUGGAAACGUGCCAGAUCCUCACUCUUGGACUUCCCAGUCUCGAGAAUUGUGAAAAACAAAUUUGUUCUUUACAAAUGACCUUUUCAUGGGCAUAGACGCUAAGCAAGCGGCAUAGCUGUCCAGAUGAAGAAAAUAUCUUGUUUAGAGUCAAGCACGACCAUGGCAGAAAUUCCACUAACGAUAACACUUCCUGGGUCGUGGUGAAAGGGGAGCCAAACUCAAAAGACGGCGUUUGAAAAGCACAUGACAUCAAACCAAAAUGAGGGGAGAGAAACUUUCAAUGAUAUGCUUAGUUUUUCAUUGCUUCUAACUAUAAUUGCACUAGCAUUACAGGGAAAGAUCUCCAGGUGACUGUCAACUAUGGUCACCUAGAGGCAGGGGACACAUUUAAAGAUAAAGGUCAAAUGUGUAUGAAAUGAAAAUCAAGGCUCCCUGAUGUAUCACAGGACAUUGUUUUUUUAUAAACAGUAUAUACCUGACUAAGUUCCAAAAAGGAAUCUACUGCCUGGAAACCUCAGCUGCUGGAGAAGGGGCAAAGCAAAUCAGAGCGAACGAAAGUCCUUUAUCAGAAGAAAAAAAAAAUCCAAAGCAGAUUCCAUUUCCUGUCAGCCCUGAUAGAAAUAUGUUGAACAACAGAAGAAAGGGGAUCUGUUCAAAACAGCAACACAAGACGCAUCUUUACCUUUCCUUUAACAUAUCUGUAUCCCCCAACAUGCAAGACAUGUUUUCAACAUGUUAACCAACUUAUUCAUCUUGCUUAAUCUACAGAAUAAAAAAUAUUAUUAUAAUUACUUUCCCACAGCAAUACUAACAAAAACAAAAACUAUUAAGAAAGCUCAAAAUACCUUUGCAAUGUGUGUUGUUUAUAGGAAACAGCAAAUCCGAAGUGUGUAGAGUGUCCUAAAGGCAGUCUUGAUCUAGCUGCUAUAGUCUGCAAAGACAGAUUCAGAUUGUGAGACAAUUCUAUCAAGUCAGAGGCAUUGAUUUCUUUCAGUAUGUUGUCUUGGAAAGCAAAAAGCAAGAUAGAAUUGUUCUAUAUUUAAGAAAACUAGAAACACAAACCCAAAUAAAAUCCGAAAUCUUUGGUCAUCAUGAGGAAAUCUCAAAGUUUUUACACUGGUGUAUUUGCACAUUAAAAACUUAAAUAUAAGUUAUAGCUUGAUAAUAUAAUU
Alexandromys fortis (reed vole) is the source of this 3244-nucleotide long non-coding RNA. RefSeq lists it as uncharacterized. The record is from RefSeq and is a predicted model, not a curated record. The transcript has 5 exons. NCBI's taxonomy places the organism in Eukaryota, Metazoa, Chordata, Mammalia, Rodentia, Cricetidae.